CAGCCGCCGCGGUAAUACGUAGGGUGCGAGCGUUAAUCGGAUUUACUGGGCGUAAAGCGUGCGCAGGCGGCCCGUUAAGACAGGUGUGAAAUCCCUGGGCUCAACCUAGGAAUUGCGCUUGUGACUGGCGGGCUCGAGUACGGUAGAGGGGGGUGGAAUUCCUAGUGUAGCAGUGAAAUGCGUAGAGAUCAGGAGGAACACCGAUGGCGAAGGCAGCCCCCUGGGCCUGUACUGACGCUCAUGCACGAAAGCGUGGGGAGCAAACAGGAUUAGAUCCCCUGGUAGUCCACGCCCUAAACGAUGGGUACUAGCCGUUUGGUGCGCGAUAGCGCUGAGUGGCGAAGCUAACGCGUGAAGUCCCCCGCCUGGGGAGUACGGCCGCAAGGUUGAAACUUAAAGGAAUUGGCGGG
This 410-nucleotide ribosomal RNA is filed under the name uncultured microorganism. RNAcentral describes it as "bacterial SSU rRNA". It matches the Rfam family "Bacterial small subunit ribosomal RNA", at positions 509 to 917 of the family's 1533-position model. The record is from RNAcentral.